Long non-coding RNA from Homo sapiens (human), 1344 nucleotides. RefSeq lists it as uncharacterized. The record is from RefSeq and is marked validated. NCBI's taxonomy places the organism in Eukaryota, Metazoa, Chordata, Mammalia, Primates, Hominidae. The transcript is spliced from 2 exons.
AUUCUCCCUCCCGCUUCCCCCAGCCGCGGCCUAGUGUCCCAGCGGGGUUGGGAGAGGCAUGUGAGGGCGAAGUUGCCCCCUGUUGAGAACCAUUGCUGCGCGUAGUCCUUCUCUCUGAACUUGUGCAGAGGACUCUCCAGGUGAAGGCUCAAGGGUGGAUCCAGCUCGAGACACCCUCGCUCCCCCUCACAGUCGGACCUUAGGAUUUAGGCUUUAACAUCUCCACAUCAUGAGAUUCGAAACCUUUAGGUCUUGUCUUCCGUUCUGUCCUCCAAAUCGGCCUCUUCCGAGCCUGUUGACCAGGGCCAGCCGGGCAGAGGGCUGGGCUCGCUCAACGAGGCUCCUCUCGCACCUCCUGGAGCUUCAGGCUUCUUUCCGUUGCAGAGAAGCUUUAUGGGCCAAUUCGUUCGGCAUCCCCGGGGGCAGGUGCGCGGUGCGCGGGGAAGAAGAGGAUUUGACUGCGGUUCUCCACCCCCGGCGCCCAACCUCCACCCCGGUGCGCGCGCUCUUCCAGGCUCCUGCUGGUCCCACUUGCCAGGAGUUAGGUCUCAGGUCAGCCUGAGCUCCUGAGACGCCCAGGCCCGGAAAGACACGUAGGGGAAACCAUCUGCUCACUUCUGUCCUGUCCGGAAGGGAUCCCUUUCUGACGGGAAAGAAAGGCGGUGAGUCCUGUCCUGUUGAGUAGGCGGAAGAGAGAUCAAAGGGAAGACAAGAAAAAUCCUGUGAGUUUUCAGGAUCUAAAGUUACCAUGAGGUCGACCUAACCUCCUCUGGAGGUCCUCCCGGUCCUCCCGUGGCUGUCGAAGCUAAACAAGCACUGGCCUUGAGAUAAGCAAUGCUGAAGCACUUGCAGCUCACCUAUUACCAUAAACUGACUGAGCCCUCCCUACACAAGCCGUAACUACUGCUUUGAUUGGACAAGAGACUGAUUUCAGUAGUUUUCUCUUGAUAAGAGACCACUGGCCGUGGGCGGGUUCUGGACAGUUUACAGAAGCUAUGCACUUGAUUGCCUUUGUGUCCCUGCUUCACCUUUUGAAGCAUAGGGCCUAAUUAUAAUGUAUUUAAAUGUUGUCUCCACCCCAAAGUGAACAUGGGUUGCAUGUAACAGGCAUGUUUACUCAGCAUGCAUGCAGCAGGAUCCCUUCACAAAUAUUCAGAGCUCCCCCUAUUCCCUGUUGAAUAUGUAUAUGUGGCCAGCCAGAUCAACGUAAAUCACUAUUCGCCCUCCCCUCCCUGGAAACCUACUUUUCGGGUUUCAGCAGGAAGCUAUGCCUCCCAGUCUGUCAGAAUGGCCACUUGCAGGCUGUAACCCUUUAUAAAAAAAUAAAAUCUCCUUUCUAAAUUU